UUAGCAUAUAAACACCAUAGGGUCUCUUAACAAACUUAAAUUGUAAAAAAGCAAUAGAUUAAAUCCCUGAUUAUUAACAUUUCAAGGAUGGAAACCUACUUUCAAAUAAAAAUGCCUUUUUGAGGACAUUUUAGAAUACAUAUAAGGGUAUGAUUCUGGGAGACUGUUUUUGAUAGUUCUUUUCCUAUUCUUUGAAAUCAUAAAGUAAAUUAACAAAAGAAUCAAUAAUUAUGUUUUAACAGUUUCUUGAUGUAUUUAACAGACUGUUUCCUUAAUAGUAAUCUCCCAAGUGUUUCAGAAAUUUGUGUAAGAGCAAGAGUUUAUUUUCUGUUCAGAUGUAUUUCUGUAGACUAGAAAAAAAAAAGUUUAUGAAUUUAGAGUAGGCCAGUCUUAAAUAAUAAGAAACCAUGAAAUUUGAUCUUUGUAUUGUGAAAUGUGUUUUCACUGAGGACUUUUAAACUGUGUCCUCUCUUUAAACACAUAAGUAGUAUAGAAAGUAAAUCAGAUAUUUCAUUGGCAAAAUAUAAGUGCCCUAAUGCUUUGAUAAUGAUUAUUGAGACUUUUUUCCCCCACAUCUUAUAUAAGCAGUGGGGUCCGGAAAAUUAUCAAAAUAAUUUUGGAUAAGAUUGAGAUGAAGUGAAAAAAAUCCACGCAUGAUUAUGGUAUAUAUGUAUGUUGUUUUGCAACAGUGAAAGAGUGAAAAAGAAGAGUUUAGGAUCAAAAUUUAUCCACGUUAAUCAGAUUCCCUAGCAUUUUCUACUUUAUUGUGUAAUUGACUUUUUAGCUAAUAUGUAGUUAUUCCGUGUUUUAAUACAGCAGACAUCAGAAAAAAAUAAAUCUCAUUUGAGAAUCUAUAAUCUUGGCUUUAUCAAAUAUACAGACUACUCUAUAUUGUCUACCUAUCAACAUUCAAGCUAUUCAACAUUUGAGACAAUUUACAAACUAAAUAUAUUAUAAACGUUAAUUAAAGAAGUAAUUUUCAUUUUAAGAGAACUGCUCCUUCCGAGGGGUUAUUUUUAACAUUACAAAUAGCACUAUCCUUUGAGUAAAAUAAGAAUUAAUUACAAAUUAUACUUUUAGCAAAGGGAAAAUGCAAUUUUUAUUGGCCUGGGGGGCAUGUAUGCUAAGUAGUUUGUGGCCCAGUUUCCAUUUCUGUAUCUGUGCUGCCUCUGACCACGGAUUGGGUACUGCGGGAGGAAAGACUGUGAGGAGAAAGUUAAUAAAAGAAGCUACAUGAGUUGAUCAUAGUUCUGCUCAGAAACCUAUGUCCACCUGAAUUCAGAACCAGAAGAGAAAUUCUGACAGUCUGUUUCCCCAGCCCUUUUACAUCGAUUUCUGAGAGUUAGCAGUGGCAGAGAAGAGUUGUUGUCUCUGCCAUUUGCAAAGCCGACUGCUUGAUCCACAGCAAAUCAAACCCAGGAAAUCUUUUAGUCUUGUCCAUUUCAGUUCCACUUCCUUGCCAGGGGCAUAACAGCUGAAGUUAAAAGACUUAUACCCAAAUGGGAAAAUUAGUGCCAUUUGUGUAGAGGCAGUAGCCUUAUUCAAACUGCUUUCAACCUAAUUGGGAAAAAAAAAAAAGAGAGACUAUGACUUGAUUAGAAGUCCUCUGGGUUGGGUAGCACGUAGGAGACUAUGGCUCAAGAAUGCUUUUAGGUUUUUCACUUAUUUUGAAUUAGUUAUAGUUUGCAUUGUAUUCUCGGGUUUGUGUGUGUGUGUGUGUGUGUGUGUCUGUGUCUGUGUCAGCGUGUCAGUGUCCUUUUCUUCAGCUUCUACAAUUUGGAAUAGGCAAAAAGUACCAAAAUGGUAAACUUUAAAGUGACCAAGAUGGCAUCGGGUUGGUCAUGUAAAAGUUCUUCCACUACUCCAGCACGUCUGUAACAGAGGUAAUGCCCCGCUGGAUUUACUUCCGUGUAUUGUAAAUUUAGGGUUUUUUUUUUUUUUUUUUUGCUUAGAAGUAAUCUCAGUUUUGAGAAGGGGAGCAGAGAAGGAAAAGAACUUUGCCUAAAAACCAGUGCCAUCCGACAACCGAUGUCUUCAAUUAGCUCUGUCAAAUUUCGGGUGAACUUUGGCCCUGUUAGUAAAUUGGAUAUGUAUUAAAGAAGAUUUUUAACAAAUCAGCUCAGAAAGGCCUGCUCCAGAAACUUGUGGUGCCUCACAGGAGUUAUGGACUAGGUGUAGACUUUAAUAUGGGAAGCUUCUAUGUUUGAGGCCCAGCUGAGCACUUAACUUCUGGUCAUGUGACAUGGGCACAUCUUCUAAAAGCUCUCCACCUCACUUUCCACAUUUGUUAAAUGAGAUUAUUAAUGUUAAUCUAGUACCUUCUUCACAGGGCUGUUGGGAGAAUCAAAUGAGCUUUACAUAUGUGGAAGUAUUUUGUAAGCAUACCUGAAUGUUUUUAGUGACAGGGGAGAGAUCGUUUUGGAAUUACUUCCAAAGAGAAGAAGAAAUUAAAGAAUGCGACGAAUUCAUUUUUUUGUUCUCUUCAGUCACCAAAGCUCUUGAGCCUUUAUGACCUCACCUGAAUAUAGAGCUUCCUAAUCUGUUGUCCAUGGAUCACAAGUGACCCACAGAGAGAAUUCAGGGGAUCAUGAACUUGGAUGCAAAAAAAAAAAAAUGUGUUUGCAUUCUAUUCGUGCUAACCACUAAUUGGAAUUUAGCAUUUCCUUCAAUUUUGAGUGGAGGUGACAAGUUGCAGUAGUAUUUUAGCAGGACCUGUGAUUUUAUCACCGCUAAAAAUUACAAGUAAUUUAUAUUACAUUACAGUUGUUGCUGACAUCUAGAAAUACUGUCUACGGGUGACCCAGCUUUGACAUAACGUUAGUUACAAGACAUCUGCUAGAUCUUGUAAUUUAAUAUGUUAAGAAUCCCGUGUAUGACUAUACUAUAUGUGCAUUUUAAUAUUUAGAUAUUUCAAUGUAAUUGGUUUCCUUUGUAACCUAGUAUGCUGUAUUUUAUGCAUUUCGCGUGAGAAGGGGUCCAUAGAUGCAAAAACUUUUUUUGAAGUUUUUAUUCUGACAGAGGGCCUACCGGCUUUACCAGAUACUGAUAUUAAAAGGAUUACUGGUACACUAGCUACUCACAUAGCCACAUCUGAUAGUGUACUCCAUGGUGAGAAAAUCCAGUUAUUCAAGUUAAAAUAGCUUAGCGUUACAGUAUAACGAAACAGUGCACUGGACAAUACGAGGCACAGAUCUCUUCAUCUGGUGUCACCUCUCUCAUGCAUGGUGGAUUCAGGCCAGACUCUGCAGUGCACUCAGAGGGGUGAAGAUCACAGGGCAUGACAAGCCACAUACGUACCCUCCAGUUUAGAUGUCUCCUAAUAUCUGUAGGUGAUGUCUAAACAAUAGAAUAAGAACGUUAUUAUUCUUGUUUCAUAACGAUGGAAUAAGAAUGUGCAGCUAGAAACCCAAACAAGAAGAUAAAUGUUUACAUUUCAUUUUUAAAUUUUAUUUUGUGCUUUUGCAAUUGUCCAUUUGACAUAAAAAAUGGCAAUAAUUAAGAUUACUCUGCUCCCAUGGUCUUUGUUUAAAUGUCAGAAUACUCAUGGAAUGCCUAAUAUAUUUGCAUCUUCCUCCUCAAAUAGAGUUUUAGUUUCUUUAGAUGGCAAUCCUGUGUUGUCAUAUUUUCUGUUGAUUUUAUUUAGCACCUAAUAAGAGAUAAUAAAUUAUACUGGUGUAUGCUUUGAAUGGUUAA
Neofelis nebulosa (Clouded leopard) is the source of this 3693-nucleotide long non-coding RNA. RefSeq lists it as uncharacterized. The record is from RefSeq and is a predicted model, not a curated record. The transcript has 2 exons. NCBI's taxonomy places the organism in Eukaryota, Metazoa, Chordata, Mammalia, Carnivora, Felidae.